RNAcentral lists this ribosomal RNA (253 nucleotides) under uncultured bacterium. RNAcentral's name for it is "partial 16S ribosomal RNA". It matches the Rfam family "Bacterial small subunit ribosomal RNA", at positions 524 to 776 of the family's 1533-position model. The record is from RNAcentral.
GACAGAGGCCUCGAGCGUUAGGCGGAAUCACUGGGCUUAAAGCGUGUGUAGGCGGAUCGUUAAGUACCUUGUGAAAUCCCACGGCUCAACCGUGGAACGGCUGGGUGUACUGGCGGUCUUGGGCCAUUCAGGGGCGACUGGAACAAGCGGUGGAGCGGUGAAAUGCGUAGAUAUCGCUUGGAACGCCGAAGGUGAAAACAGGUCGCUGGGGAUGUGCCGACGCUGAGACACGAAAGCCAGGGGAGCAAACGGG